Molecule: ribosomal RNA, 214 nt
Filed under: uncultured bacterium
Lineage: Bacteria
Description: partial 16S ribosomal RNA
Rfam family: Bacterial small subunit ribosomal RNA
Source: RNAcentral
GACGGGGGGGGGCAAGUGUUCUUCGGAAUGACUGGGCGUAAAGGGCACGUAGGCGGUGAAUCGGGUUGAAAGUGAAAGUCGCCAAAAAAGUGGCGGAAUGCUCUCGAAACCAAUUCACUUGAGUGAGACAGAGGAGAGUGGAAUUUCGUGUGUAGGGGUGAAAUCCGUAAAUAUACGAAGGAACGCCAAAAGCGAAGGCAGCUCUCUGGGUCCC